RNAcentral lists this transfer RNA (73 nucleotides) under Craugastor augusti (barking frog). RNAcentral's name for it is "tRNA-Asn". Lineage: Eukaryota; Metazoa; Chordata; Amphibia; Anura; Craugastoridae. The record is from RNAcentral.
UAGAAUAAAGCUCACUGGAUAGAGUUUUUAGCUGUUAACUAAAUUAUUACGGGAUCGAGGCCCGUUGUUCUAG